AUGACCAUGACGCUUGAGGAUGUCUCGUUGAUCACCGGUCUUGCUAUCGACGGGAGGCCUCUCUGUAUGAGCACCAAUUCUAAUGGGUGGCGCGAGCAGAUGAUUGCUCUUAUCGGUAUGGCUCCUACCGAGGCUGAGGCUGAUGUAGAGGAGGGAGAAGAGAAGAAGAAGAGGGAAAGGAAAGCAGCCGGAGCUGCUUUCACGUGGAUUCAAAAUAACUUUGCGACGUGCCCUCCGGAUGCCACUGAUGAUGUGAUCCACACACAUGCUCGUGUGUAUAUGUGGUACGUUGUGUCAAGGACUUUGUUUCCUGACUCCACUGGCAAGAACGCUCCAUGGAUGUGGCUGAAGGCGUUGACCGUCUUCGAUAGCAAAUGGAGCUGGGGUUCAGCGACUCUUGCCUACUUGUACCGACAGCUGGACGAUGCAUGUUGCAGGAUCACAGAUAGUGCAGGCAUUGGUGGUAAUCUGCUUCUACUUUCUGUAUGGAGCUGGGAGCGUCUGCCUGUUGGACGCCCGAAGAGCGUCAGGUUUGAUCCUUGGUAUGCAGAUGAACAUGACGAAUUACGGCGCCCCACGUGGGCUUACAAGUGGGAUAUCGUUUCCGAGAUGACGAACGAUGUCAAUCUCAUGUACCAAAAGUACAUUGCCGAGUUGGACACGAUUACGCCUGAGCAGGUGGAAUGGCAGCCAUAUGGCGCGGGUGAGAGCUUGGGGUACACCGAGGAGUUCCGCCUCAACCCGAUGUGCUUGCAGGAUAAGGAUCUCUGGCUUAUGCGGUGCCCACUGAUAUGCAACUAG
RNAcentral lists this ribosomal RNA (801 nucleotides) under Triticum aestivum (bread wheat). Its description in RNAcentral is "partial small subunit ribosomal RNA". Lineage: Eukaryota; Viridiplantae; Streptophyta; Magnoliopsida; Poales; Poaceae. The record is from RNAcentral.